GGCCUUGUAGUGUAGCCGGUUAUCACGGCGGAUUCUGAUUAGAUAUCCGAUUUCCGUCAACCCAGGUUCGAGUCCUGGCAAGGCCU
Non-coding RNA from Amylostereum chailletii, 86 nucleotides. NCBI's taxonomy places the organism in Eukaryota, Fungi, Basidiomycota, Agaricomycetes, Russulales, Stereaceae. The record is from the annotation of a GenBank genome assembly.